RNAcentral lists this microRNA (22 nucleotides) under Panagrellus redivivus. RNAcentral also lists the same sequence under 2 other names. The record is from RNAcentral. Lineage: Eukaryota; Metazoa; Nematoda; Chromadorea; Rhabditida; Panagrolaimidae.
AAGAGAGCCAUCUGUUGACAGU